AUAUUUGACAAUGGGCGAAAGCCUGAUACAGCCAUGCCGCGUGUGUGUAGAAGGUCUUCGGAUUGUAAAGCACUUUAAGUUGGGAGGAAGGGGAUGAAGCUAAUACCUUCAAUCUUUCACGUUCUCACUAUUAUAACGACUGGUUAACUCUUAGCCCGUAGCCGCGGUAAGACAGAGUGUGCAAGCGUUAAUCGGAAUUACUGGGCGUAAAGCGCGCGUAGGUGGUUCAGUAAGAUGGAAGUGAAAUCCCCGGGCUUAACCUGGGAACUGCUUUCAUAACUGCUGAGCUAGAGUACGGUAGAGGGUAGUGGAAUUUCCUGUGUAGCGGUGAAAUGCGUAGAUAUAGGAAGGAACACCAGUGGCGAAGGCGACUACCUGGACUGAUACUGACACUGAGGUGCGAAAGCGUGGGGAGCAAACA
Molecule: ribosomal RNA, 421 nt
Filed under: uncultured bacterium
Lineage: Bacteria
Description: partial 16S ribosomal RNA
Rfam family: Bacterial small subunit ribosomal RNA
Source: RNAcentral